Molecule: transfer RNA, 72 nt
Filed under: Pseudozyma hubeiensis SY62
Lineage: Eukaryota; Fungi; Basidiomycota; Ustilaginomycetes; Ustilaginales; Ustilaginaceae
Description: tRNA-Trp (CCA) (tRNA-Trp-CCA-1-1)
Rfam family: tRNA
About the family: Transfer RNA (tRNA) molecules are approximately 80 nucleotides in length. Their secondary structure includes four short double-helical elements and three loops (D, anti-codon, and T loops). Further hydrogen bonds mediate the characteristic L-shaped molecular structure. tRNAs have two regions of fundamental functional importance: the anti-codon, which is responsible for specific mRNA codon recognition, and the 3' end, to which the tRNAs corresponding amino acid is attached (by aminoacyl-tRNA synthetases). tRNAs cope with the degeneracy of the genetic code in two manners: having more than one tRNA (with a specific anti-codon) for a particular amino acid; and 'wobble' base-pairing, i.e. permitting non-standard base-pairing at the 3rd anti-codon position.
Source: RNAcentral
GGCCCUUUAGCUCAGCGGUAGAGCGUCGGCUUCCAGUUCCGAAGGUCAUCCGUUCAAAUCGGGUAGGGGUCA